Molecule: long non-coding RNA, 816 nt
Organism: Tigriopus californicus
Lineage: Eukaryota; Metazoa; Arthropoda; Copepoda; Harpacticoida; Harpacticidae
Exons: 3
Source: RefSeq, a predicted model, not a curated record
AAAGGGGCUGUUAACUAUUUCUUCUAGUGAUACUACUACAAAGGUCUACGGGCUACGGCUCGCAAAAAGUCGAACUUUUUGCUGACCAAAAGUUGAACACAGGCUUUAAUUGAGCAGCCCUUGCCCAAUCGAGGAGAAGAGUGAGUAAGGUUUCCCCUUCAGUGGGCCAGGUUUAACCCCAUCGAACACGUUUCGUGCUAAAUAGGCCGAAUUCGAAGAAAAAGGCUUUACUAUCGAAGCAUUUCGGGAUUCUUGCUUUCGCUUUGGCCAUGAUUUCAGGGAGAAUGUCGUGUUGGUCCCAAGCUGGGCGAGGCCAAACUAGAUAAAUGGUGUGAUCGUUUGAGCUGAGUGGAACGUAGUUGUCGAUCCAUUAUUGGGCAGGAAGAGGAGGAAAAAUCACCUUUCCAUUACAAUCCAAUGAAUCUGCUCUCACCACAAUAGAAGACCACCAAGAUUCGGAGAUUCGGACGGGUAGGCGACACUGUUCCGGCUAAGCUCAUCCCAAGAAAUUGUCGAUACAAAGACCCCGCCUUUUCAUGGUCCAAAUGAAGACUAUAUGCACGAAUUCCUUUUGGACAAAUUUGGGGUGUUCACACCCAACUUGAAGGCAAACGACGAUUUAAGAUGUUCAAUGCUAGUUCUUGCUAUGCGGCAUUUUUUGUGGCUAGUUCACCAGAACCGCGAAAGAGCCAGCAAGAAAGCGGAAAGAGUUGCUGACUGUGGAGGUUUGUUUGUCUCCAAAUUGCGAAAACCCCUUCAAACUUACAAAAGCAUUGAGGCAUUGAGUCUAAUUUCUGGCGAGGGCAUUAAAUCAGG